This 2622-nucleotide long non-coding RNA is filed under the name Gallus gallus (chicken). Its description in RNAcentral is "lncRNA (ENSGALG00010006972.1)". The record is from RNAcentral. Lineage: Eukaryota; Metazoa; Chordata; Aves; Galliformes; Phasianidae.
UGGAAGUUUCACAGAGUUUUCACUUUUUGAGUGUCUCUUUCAUAAUUCGAUUAUGGAAAGGUUGUUAUAGUGAUGACAGGUUUUUGUUUUUACUGAAGGUGUGAUAGUUCUCUCUCGGGUUUUUAGCCCUCACUUUGACAUCCUGACACUACUCAAGAACUGUUUCCCCAGCAGCUUGAGGGGUGGAGAAAUGCAGAAGUAUCCCACAGAGCGUACUCUACUGUCCAGUAUACAUAGCAAUACCAUUUUGUUAUGUGGUAACAAACAUUUAGUAUGGUGUGACAAUAUGCUUAAAAAACAGGUUGUGGCAGCAACUAUAAAGAAAACUUAAUUGAGGAAAGACAAGGAAAAGUUCCCCUGAGUUUUUAUGAUUUUGUUUUGAUUAAAGAAAGCCACCAUGGAACCGUGAAACCAGGUAUGCCAAAAUAGUCAGCUUUCUUUCUACCCACUCUAGAAUAGUCUGGAAAGUCUCUGUUACUGAGGAAGCUUGCAAACCACAUCUCUGUUACAGAUGAAGAUGCAGCUCUACUGGACUUGUUUCUCCAUCAAUUGUUUCUCCAUCUCCAGAUAUUUUGUUAUUUUCGAAAGUCCUGAAAGAAAUGGUAGAAUGGCCAAAGUUCAUACCAGAAAGUGUUUAUCCUCUAGUGGAUGUGUACAUCUCUACCUUGGUUUGCCUCCCAUGUAGACUAUUUAUAGUCAUCCAUUGGAUUUUCAUUAGCGGUAUAAUUGAUCUUUAUUCUGCUUUUGAAGUUUGUACACACCUGUCCUACAGGUUAGAGGUGAACUCAGUUUUAUCCCUCUGGCUACAGAUAGAUCUUAGUGCCUUAUUAGAUGUCUAUCCAAGUAGGUGGAGCUCUGUGUCAGACUGACAGCAGGUGAUUAGUAAGGCAGUCGUGGCAGUGUAUGCUCAGGCUCAUGCCUGACAUGUUGUAAGUUCGCUAUGUUGCUCCAGCAAUAAGGUUCUCGGGAGGUCUGUUAAACACCAUUAAAAAAAAAAAACUUGAUUUAAUUAGGAGACUAAAUUAUAAAGAUUAAUUUGAUAACUAAUUAUCACAAGUACAAAAUAGUAGAUUAGUAAUAUAGUAAGAUAAGUGAACAUUACCAACGAGUUAUGAUUUAAAUGACCAAUUUUGCAUAUAGUAUUGCUGUAAUUCUUGUGUUUUAUCUUCAGAUAAUAGAUGUGGAAACUAAAGAAAGAUUUACUUAUUUUAUACUUUAAAUAGCCAAAAAAAAAAAAACCUUCUGUCAUUUAGCUUUUUAUGAUCAAGAAUCUUGUUUUGUGUGAAAUCAUUAUUCACGUCUUAUUACAGACUUUAGUGGUCCUUGUAUUGUUUUGGUUGAAAAAGACAUCUAAGCACAACAGUUGCAAAUUGUCAGUGACUGUAUGUAGUAAUACAGUCCUUCAAAAUCAAUUUGAUCUCAGUUCAUGAAGAAAUUAAAUUGAAAUAAAAAGGAUUUAAAAUAAUUGCAGAAUUCCCUAUACGGAGUUGGACUAGAUGAUCUCAAGAGGUGCUUUCCAGCCUAAACAGGUGACUCUGUACAGUUACAAAAAUGAAAUAGCAAGUUUUAUUAGCAUUCUAUUAUUUAUAUCUAUAAUUUCAGAUUUUUUGCAAUGUUAUUUGUUAGUGGAAUUUUAUGUAUAAAUGUAGACAGCAUGAAGUCCAACUUGUAUAACAGCAUGACUGUAUAUGCAAAUAGAUAUAACAUGCUUCAAGCUAGAAUGUGACCUUUAUUUUUCUCAUUAAUUGUCACAUUGCCUAGAAUGGCUUUUCAUACAACCUACCUGUCACUUUACCAAAAAGAGGGGAGGGAAGGGGGUCCAUACGUCAGUGUGAAUGACAAACAAGUAGAGACGCAUUUGGAAAAAUCUGUCUAGGUUCUUCUGAAACAUGAAGUAUUUUGCUCUCCCCUGGAAAAAUUACAUGACAGAACAAAAUUAAGAAGAAAGCACACACAUCCUUCGCAACGUUGCCUUAGCCAAGCUAGUCUGUUGGGUCAUGCGCGAAAAACAGCCAAGCCCUAGGACUGAGAUUGUAUUGACAAGAACAAGAUGAAUGGCCCCCUGGAGACUACAGGUCUCAACCAUUAGCUGGGGAUUUUCAUCACCAGUGAACAACAGCUUGCAUGCCACACUUGCAAAAAUCUGCAUGGCUGUCCAGAAUGUGACUUGUCACUCACGUCGCUAUUGACACUGCUGAAACACAACACCUCAUGGGUCUGAAACACCUCACUGUGCUCACACCCACUGUUUGGUCUCCGUAAACAUUCAGCAAGCAUUAAUGAAUGUCAAAGGGUGCCAUUUUUUCUACACAGAGGAAUUCAGUUCUAUGCCUUUGCUUCAUAGGCACUUCCACUACAAACACCGUUUUUAUCAGAUUGCCCUUCUGCUGCCAUCUGUCACACAGUAACAAAACCUAAUAACGUUGCAAGGAAGGUUCAACCUCUACUGCCGUACCACCAGCACAAUAAACUGGGAGGCAUUACUUUCGGAGCAGCUAUUAUAACAUGCCUGGAUUUCAUAAAACAUUGCCCUAAUAAAUAUAUUCAUGUUUUUGCUGUAUUUCAUAUCAGAGCUGUUCAGUUUUGCAUGUAAUUAAAUCCAAUAAAGCUAUCUGUAUCUUA